UUUGUUGUAUUGAAUUGAUUGUUAUUUUACAGACCCAUAAGGGUGGCUAUUUAUAGCCCAGUACAAACGACUUCUAAUCCAACUAGAACUCUAUCUCUAACUUUAAACAGAAAAACUUCUUAUCCGACUAGAACUCUAUCCCCAAAUCUAAACAGAAAAUGAAUAUUUACAAGUACGAUUCGUACUAUCUUUACGCGCUUCAUGGGCUGACCUCCUCUUUCAUCUUCAUAAUCCUUUUUAAGCCCACAUCGGCCCAAUCACCUCUUUAGCAAGGAGGUAACCGAUCAGGACCC
This 293-nucleotide long non-coding RNA is filed under the name Setaria italica (foxtail millet). Its description in RNAcentral is "long non-coding RNA (SITA_LNC003058)". Lineage: Eukaryota; Viridiplantae; Streptophyta; Magnoliopsida; Poales; Poaceae. The record is from RNAcentral.